Molecule: long non-coding RNA, 469 nt
Organism: Poecilia latipinna (sailfin molly)
Lineage: Eukaryota; Metazoa; Chordata; Actinopteri; Cyprinodontiformes; Poeciliidae
Exons: 4
Source: RefSeq, a predicted model, not a curated record
AAUGGAGAUGUAGCACUGUGAUUAUGCUCUUGACUACUGGGGAGCAGGAACCAAAGUCACUGUUCCGUCAGGUGAAUCCUCUCAGACUCUGUCCCUGUUCGUCCUGAGACCCCAGCAGACCUCUGGUGAACCCCUGAACUCUGCAGACCUACUCAGUCAAGAAGUCUGUCUGGCAACAGAUUUCCGUUCAAAAGUGACUGUGAAUGAGAAAGAGGGUCCGGCCAAUGUGAGCACUGACGAUGCUGUUCAGCCAAAGAACCAAAACCACUUUGAUGAAUUCAGUAACAAAAACAACCACUCCUGUGGGAUGAACAUCAGCAACAAUGAAGGAGAUGAUGAAUGUGGAGACUUUGAUCCAGAAAAAGCCAAGCUGAACUUCUACCUGCUGCUGAUGAACGGAGUCCGAGUGGUGUUCACCAAAGCUCUGGCCUUCAGCACCGUCCUCACCAUCAGAGGCCUGAUCUUCUGA